AGUCGUCUUUUAGAUGACGAAGUGGUUGAUGCCAUGCUUCCAAGAAAAGCUUCUAAGCUUCAGGUAACCAGGAACCGUACCCCAAACCGACACAGGUGGUCGGGUAGAGAAUACCAAGGCGCUUGAGAGAACUCGGGUGAAGGAACUAGGCAAAAUGGCACCGUAACUUCGGGAGAAGGUGCGCCGGCUAGGGUGAAGGAUUUACUCCGUAAGCUCUGGCUGGUCGAAGAUACCAGGCCGCUGCGACUGUUUAUUAAAAACACAGCACUCUGCAAACACGAAAGUGGACGUAUAGGGUGCGACGCCUGCCCGGUGCCGGAAGGUUAAUUGAUGGGGUUAGCGCAAGCGAAGCUCUUGAUCGAAGCCCCGGUAAACGGCGGCCGUAACUAUAACGGUCCUAAAGUAGCGAAAUUCCUUGUCGGGUAAGUUCCGACCUGCACGAAUGGCGUAACGAUGGCGGCGCUGUCUCCACCCGAGACUCAGUGAAAUUGAAAUCGCUGUGAAGAUGCAGUGUAUCCGCGGCUAGACGGAAAGACCCCGUGAACCUUUACUGUAGCUUUGCACUGGACUUUGAGCCUGCUUGUGUAGGAUAGGUGGGAGGCUUUGAAGCGUGGACGCCAGUUCGCGUGGAGCCAUCCUUGAAAUACCACCCUGGCAUGCUUGAGGUUCUAACUCUGGUCCGUAAUCCGGAUCGAGGACAGUGUAUGGUGGGCAGUUUGACUGGGGCGGUCUCCUCCUAAAGAGUAACGGAGGAGUACGAAGGUGCGCUCAGACCGGUCGGAAAUCGGUCGCAGAGUAUAAAGGCAAAAGCGCGCUUGACUGCGAGACAGACACGUCGAGCAGGUACGAAAGUAGGUCUUAGUGAUCCGGUGGUUCUGUAUGGAAGGGCCAUCGCUCAACGGAUAAAAGGUACUCCGGGGAUAACAGGCUGAUACCGCCCAAGAGUUCAUAUCGACGGCGGUGUUUGGCACCUCGAUGUCGGCUCAUCACAUCCUGGGGCUGAAGCCGGUCCCAAGGGUAUGGCUGUUCGCCAUUUAAAGUGGUACGCGAGCUGGGUUUAGAACGUCGUGAGACAGUUCGGUCCCUAUCUGCCGUGGACGUUUGAGAUUUGAGAGGGGCUGCUCCUAGUACGAGAGGACCGGAGUGGACGAACCUCUGGUGUUCCGGUUGUCACGCCAGUGGCAUUGCCGGGUAGCUAUGUUCGGAAAAGAUAACCGCUGAAAGCAUCUAAGCGGGAAACUUGCCUCAAGAUGAGAUCUCACUGGGAACUUGAUUCCCCUGAAGGGCCGUCGAAGACUACGACGUUGAUAGGCUGGGUGUGUAAGCGUUGUGAGGCGUUGAGCUAACCAGUACUAAUUGCCCGUGAGGCUUGAC
RNAcentral lists this ribosomal RNA (1374 nucleotides) under metagenome. RNAcentral describes it as "bacterial LSU rRNA". It matches the Rfam family "Bacterial large subunit ribosomal RNA", at positions 1569 to 2925 of the family's 2925-position model. The record is from RNAcentral.